GAUCUCGAAAACCUGUCCCAGUUCGGACUGGAGUCUGCAACCCGACUCCACGAAGUUGGAUUCGCUAGUAAUCGCGCAUCAGCCAUGGCGCGGUGAAUACGUUCCCGGGCCUUGUACACACCGCCCGUCAAGCCAUGGGAGCCGGGGGCGCCUGAAGUCCGGGACCGCGAGGACCGGCCUAGGGCGAAACUGGUGACUGGGGCUAAGUCGUAACAAGGUAGC
RNAcentral lists this ribosomal RNA (222 nucleotides) under uncultured bacterium. Its description in RNAcentral is "partial 16S ribosomal RNA". It matches the Rfam family "Bacterial small subunit ribosomal RNA", at positions 1270 to 1500 of the family's 1533-position model. The record is from RNAcentral.